CGCAGCCGCGGUAAAACGGAGGAUCCAAGCGUUAUCCGGAAUCAUUGGGUUUAAAGGGUCCGUAGGCGGUCUUGUAAGUCAGUGGUGAAAGCCCAUCGCUCAACGGUGGAACGGCCAUUGAUACUGCAGGACUUGAAUUAUUGGGAAGUAACUAGAAUAUGUAGUGUAGCGGUGAAAUGCUUAGAGAUUACAUGGAAUACCAAUUGCGAAGGCAGGUUACUACCAAUUGAUUGACGCUGAUGGACGAAAGCGUGGGUAGCGAACAGGAUUAGAUACCCCCGUAGUCCCUGUCUCUUAUACA
This 301-nucleotide ribosomal RNA is filed under the name uncultured bacterium. RNAcentral's name for it is "partial 16S ribosomal RNA". It matches the Rfam family "Bacterial small subunit ribosomal RNA", at positions 510 to 808 of the family's 1533-position model. The record is from RNAcentral.